RNAcentral lists this ribosomal RNA (483 nucleotides) under uncultured bacterium. RNAcentral describes it as "partial 16S ribosomal RNA". It matches the Rfam family "Bacterial small subunit ribosomal RNA", at positions 28 to 507 of the family's 1533-position model. The record is from RNAcentral.
GAUGAACGCUGGCGGCGUGCCUAACACAUGCAAGUCGAACGGAGUCGUUUUGGAAAUCUCUUCGGAGAUGGAAUUCUCGACUUAGUGGCGGACGGGUGAGUAACGCGUGAGCAAUCUGCCUUUAAGAGGGGGAUAACAGUCGGAAACGGCUGCUAAUACCGCAUAAAGCAUUAAAUUCGCAUGUUUUUGAUGCCAAAGGAGCAAUCCGCUUUUAGAUGAGCUCGCGUCUGAUUAGCUAGUUGGCGGGGUAACGGCCCACCAAGGCGACGAUCAGUAGCCGGACUGAGGGGUGGAACGGCCACAUUGGGACUGAGACACGGCCCAGACUCCUACGGGAGGCAGCAGUGGGGAAUAUUGCGCAAUGGGGGAAACCCUGACGCAGCAACGCCGCGUGAUUGAAGAAGGCCUUCGGGUUGUAAAGAUCUUUAAUCAGGGACGAAACAAAUGACGGUACCUGAAGAAUAAGCUCCGGCUAACUACGUG